CCUACGGGGGGCAGCAGUGAGGAAUAUUGGUCAAUGGUCGGGAGACUGAACCAGCCAAGCCGCGUGAGGGAGGAAGGUACAGAGUAUCGUAAACCUCUUUUGUCAGGGAACAAAGGCGGGGACGUGUCCCCGGAUGAGUGUACCUGAAGAAAAAGCAUCGGCUAACUCCGUGCCAGCAGCCGCGGUAAUACGGAGGAUGCGAGCGUUAUCCGGAUUUAUUGGGUUUAAAGGGUGCGCAGGCGGUCUGUUAAGUCAGCGGUGAAAGCCCGGGGCUCAACCCCGGCCCGCCGUUGAAACUGGCAGUCUCGAGUUGGAGAGAAGUAUGCGGAAGGCGCGGUGUAGCGGUGAAAUGCAGAGAUAUCGCGCAGAACUCCGAUUGCGAAGGCAGCAUGCCGGCUCCACACUGACGCUGAGGCACGAAAGCGUGGGUAUCGAACAGGAUUAGAUACCCCAGUAGUC
Molecule: ribosomal RNA, 459 nt
Filed under: uncultured bacterium
Lineage: Bacteria
Description: partial 16S ribosomal RNA
Rfam family: Bacterial small subunit ribosomal RNA
Source: RNAcentral